AGUUUGAUAGUUGAUCAAUCGAUAGUGCGGCGGACUGUUAAUCCGGAGGUCGCCAGUUCGAAUCUGGCACGGCCUA
Molecule: transfer RNA, 76 nt
Filed under: Nitrosomonas sp. Nm58
Lineage: Bacteria; Pseudomonadati; Pseudomonadota; Betaproteobacteria; Nitrosomonadales; Nitrosomonadaceae
Description: tRNA_Asn_GTT
Rfam family: tRNA
About the family: Transfer RNA (tRNA) molecules are approximately 80 nucleotides in length.
Source: RNAcentral